GUGCUCACUUCAGCAGCACAUAUACUAAAAUUGGAAUGAUACAGAGAAGAUUAGUAUGGCCCCUGUGCUAGGAUGACACGCAAAAAAUCCCCUUCUGUAAAUUUUG
This is a small nuclear RNA of Suncus etruscus (white-toothed pygmy shrew), 106 nucleotides long. Lineage: Eukaryota; Metazoa; Chordata; Mammalia; Eulipotyphla; Soricidae. The record is from RefSeq and is a predicted model, not a curated record.